Molecule: ribosomal RNA, 2373 nt
Filed under: Phycisphaeraceae bacterium
Lineage: Bacteria; Pseudomonadati; Planctomycetota; Phycisphaerae; Phycisphaerales; Phycisphaeraceae
Description: bacterial LSU rRNA
Rfam family: Bacterial large subunit ribosomal RNA
Source: RNAcentral
GAUCAAGCUAUUAAGGGUAUGCGGUGGAUGUCUUGGCGUCAAGAGGCGAUGAAAGACGUGGUAACCUGCGAUAAGCCUAGGGGAGCUGGUAAACGAGCUUUGAUCCUAGGAUUUCUGAAUGGGGAAACCCAACACUUCGGUGUUAUCCAUGCCUGAAUGUAUAGGGCAUGGAAGCGAACCUGGCAAACUGAAACAUCUAAGUAGCCAGAGGAAAAUAAAGAAACCUCGAUUCCGUCAGUAGCGGCGAGCGAAAUCGGAAUAAGCCCAAACCACUCUUCGGAGUGGGGUUGCGGGCACCAAUGUGAUAUCCACGCGGUUGUUUUGAACAGUCUGGGAAGGCUGACUAUAGAAGGUGACAGUCCUGUAUGAACGACCAAAUGGAGUCUAGGUGUACCAGAGUAGUACGAAGCUCGUGAAACUUCGUGUGAAACCGGGGGGCCCACCCCCCAAGGCUAAAUACUCCUUGACGACCGAUAGCGUAUCAGUAGGGUGAUUGAACGAUGAAAAGUUCCCCGACAAGGGAAGUUAAAAGUACCUGAAACCGCAUACUUACAAACGGUCGGAGCCAUUCUUCGGAAUGGUGACGGCGUGCCUUUUGCAUAAUGAGCCGGCGAGUUAAUCUUCGUGGCAAGCUUAAGCUGUACACCAGUGUAGGCGUAGGGAAACCAAGUCUUAAAAGGGCGCCAAGUCGCGGGGAUUAGACGCGAAACCGAGUGAUCUACCCAUGGCCAGGUUGAAGGAAAGGUAAAACUUUCUGGAGGACCGAACCCGUUAUCGUUGAAAAGAUAUGGGAUGAGCUGUGGGGAGGAGUCAAAGUCUAAUCAAACUCGGAGAUAUCUCGUUCUCCUCGAAAUAGCUUUAGGGCUAGCCUCGCGUUACGCAUAACAGGGGUAGAGCUACCAAAUGGGGCUGGGGGGCAACCUGCCUACCCACCCCAAUUGAACUCCGAAUACUGUUAUGUUUUGUCGCGGGAGUCAGACUGUGGGGGAUAAUCUCCAUGGUCAAAAGGGUAACAACCCGGACCGCCAGCUAAGGUCCCCAAUAUCAUCUAAGUUCUUAAGGAAGUUAGGGUGCAAUGACAGCCAGGAUGUUGGCUUAGAAGCAGCCACCAUUUAAAGAGUGCGUAAUAGCUCACUGGUCGAGGAUCCUAGCGCCGAUAAUGAUCGGGAAUAAGAUGAUAACCGAAGCUGCGGACUACACCAUGUAGUGGUAGAGGAGCGUUCUUGUCAGCGUUGAAGCGAAACGGUAACGUUUCGUGGAGCGUCAAGAAGUGAUUAUGCCGGCUUGAGUAACGAUAAAACAGGUGAAAAUCCUGUUCGCCGAAAGACUAAGGUUUCCUGGGGAAGGUAAAUCCGCCCAGGGUUAGUCGGCCCCUUAGACGAGGCUGAAAAGCGUAGUCGAUGGGAAGCAGGUUAAUAUUCCUGCACCUCUGUGAAGUGACGGAUCUUGAAGGUUGGUCGCACGGCUAGAUGAGUGCGUACCGCAAGGUCGAGGGCGUUUGAUCCCGAAGCCAGCUGAAUAGGUUCCAAGAAAUAGCUCACAAAUAGAGACCGUACUAAAACUGACACAGGUAGUCGUGGUGAAUAACCUCAGGCGCUCGAGAGAACGGUUGUUAAGGAACUAGGCAAAUUUACCCCGUACGUUCGCAAUAAGGGGGCCCUAACCCACUCGAUGGGAAGGGCGCAGAGAAAAGGCUCUGGGGACUGUUUAUCAAAAACACAGGACUGUGCUAACUCGCAAGAGGAUGUAUACAGUCUGACGCCUGCUCGGUGCCGGAAUGUCAAGGAAGCAGGUUAGCUUCGGCGAAGCUUGCGACCUAAGCACCGGUAAACGGCGGCCGUAACUAUGACGGUCCUAAGGUAGCGAAAUUCCUUGUCGGGUAAGUUCCGACGCGCAUGAAUGGCGUAACCACUGGAGCACUGUCUCCACGACCAACUCGGUGAAAUAGUAGUGGCGGUGAAGAUGCCGCCUACCCGCAGCAAGACGGAAAGACCCCGUGAACCUUUACUGCAGGCUUCUAUUGGUCGUGAGCAUAAAUUGCGUAGGAUAAGUGGGAGACGUUGAUCCGGACCUUUUGGGGUUCGGGGAGUCGUUGGUGAAAUACCACUCUGUUUACGUUUACGGCCUAACCCCGAUUCCCGUGAAACCGGGCGGGGGACCAUGGGUGCCGGGCAGUUUGACUGGGGCGGUCUCCUCCUAAAGAGUAACGGAGGAGCACAAAGGUUGGUUCAGCGCGGAUGGAAACCGCGCGUCGAGUGUAAGAGCACAAGCCAGCUUUACUGCGAGUCUGACAGGACGAGCAGUUACGAAAGUAGGUUCUAGUGAUCCUGCGAUCCCGUGUGGAAGGGUCGUAGCUCAUCGGAUAAAAGGUAC